Molecule: ribosomal RNA, 420 nt
Filed under: bacterium
Lineage: Bacteria
Description: partial 16S ribosomal RNA
Rfam family: Bacterial small subunit ribosomal RNA
Source: RNAcentral
UGGGGGAUAUUGCACAAUGGGCGAAAGCCUGAUGCAGCGACGCCGCGUGGGGGAUGAAGGCUUUCGGGUUGUAAACCUCUUUCGCUAUCGAACAAGGCCCGCUUAGGGUGGGUUGAGGGUAGGUGGAGAAGAAGCGCCGGCUAACUACGUGCCAGCAGCCGCGGUAAUACGUAGGGCGCGAGCGUUGUCCGGAAUUAUUGGGCGUAAAGGGCUUGUAGGCGGCUUGUUGCGCCUGCUGUGAAAACGCGGGGCUUAACUUCGCGCGUGCAGUGGGUACGGGCAGGCUUGGGUGUGGUAGGGGGGACUGGAAGUCCAGGUGUAGGGGUGGAAUGCGCAGGUAUCUGGAGGAACACCGAUGGCGUAGGCAGGUCACUGGGCCAUUACUGACGCUGAGGAGCGAAAGAAUGGGUAGCGAACAGG